GACGAACGCUGGCGGCGUGCUUAACACAUGCAAGUCGAACGGAAAGGCCUCUUUCGGGGGGUACUCGAGUGGCGAACGGGUGAGUAACACGUGAGUAACCUGCCCUUGACUUUGGGAUAACUUCAGGAAACUGGGGCUAAUACCGGAUAGGACCUCCUGCUGCAUGGUGGGGGUUGGAAAGUUUCGGCGGUUGGGGAUGGACUCGCGGCUUAUCAGCUUGUUGGUGGGGUAGUGGCUUACCAAGGCUUUGACGGGUAGCCGGCCUGAGAGGGUGACCGGCCACAUUGGGACUGAGAUACGGCCCAGACUCCUACGGGAGGCAGCAGUGGGGAAUAUUGCACAAUGGGUGGAAGCCUGAUGCAGCAACGCCGUGUGCGGGAUGACGGCCUUCGGGUUGUAAACCGCUUUCGCUCAUGACGAAGCUUUGUGUGACGGUAGUGGGUAAAGAAGCACCGGCUAACUACGUG
Molecule: ribosomal RNA, 467 nt
Filed under: uncultured bacterium
Lineage: Bacteria
Description: partial 16S ribosomal RNA
Rfam family: Bacterial small subunit ribosomal RNA
Source: RNAcentral